This 1707-nucleotide long non-coding RNA is filed under the name Sus scrofa (pig). RNAcentral's name for it is "lncRNA (ENSSSCG00030009186.1)". The record is from RNAcentral. Lineage: Eukaryota; Metazoa; Chordata; Mammalia; Artiodactyla; Suidae.
GCUGGGAGAUGCAGUUCUGUGUACUUUUCUACGUCGGCGAGGCUGUCCUUUCUACCUCCGCGGGGCUGGCGAUUAAUCUCUUCCUCUCCUGCUCUGUUUUUUCACAUUCGCCCGGGACCCUCAGAUCUUUCGGCCUCCCUGUGAACAAACCACGCAUGUCACCUUCUGCUGGAUUCUGGUGUUUUCUACUUUCUACAGGUUCCGCAUUUUGUGUGCUCCCGUGCUUCCAGGCCACCCACCUGGAGUCAUCAAGGACCCAGUGCCUGCAGUCAACCCGACUUCCCAGCAUGCCCUGUUCCUAUGCCUUGGGCCUGGCCCCACGUCAGCUUUCACCUGGAAUUCUGCAAAGCCUCCUUGAGGUCUCCGAGCCUCAAUGCUCGACCUCUGCAGUCUCUUCUUUGCUGCAUCGAACGAGCAGAAUUGUAAACCUCAGUUCCGUGUCACUCCUCCCCUGCCUGAGACCCUUCGUGGUUCCCCAGGGUCCUCAGGACAAAGCCCAAGCCCCUUGGCCUGGCGAUCAGUGCCCUGUGCUCACCUCUCCAGCUCCAGCUCAGAUAGCUCUGCCCGCACAAGCUGGCUUUGCACCAGAGGGCCACCUUCCUCCCCUUCAGCCUCCUCCUCCCGAGGAGCCCUUGGGAUGCCACCUCCCAGGAGGCUCUUCCCCCCGCCCCCGUCUCUACACCUGUCAUGAGCAGUUAUUGCCAUAGUUCUGCCUGACUAUGUCACGGUUGCAUCUUCUCUCUUCUCCGACCCCCAGCACAGUGCUUCUCGAGGGAGGUGCUUCCUCAAUAUUGUCGUCUCAUUUUAUGUUUGGAAAAUGAAAAAAAAAAGAAUGUUUUUUUCCUUUGUCAGAAAUUUAAGAAAUAUAGGAAAGCAAAAAAAAAAAAAAAAAGGAAUAAUGUGUUUUCACUAACCUGACCUAGUCCCCGUGAUCAUUUUUGCUUGUUUCUACUUCUUUCUUUUUUUUCUUUUUUGGCUGUAGCCAGGGCAUGCAGAGGUCCCCAGGCCAAGGACCAAACCUACACCACAGCAGUGACAAGAUCAGAUCCUCGAUCCACUGCCCCACCAAGGAACUCCUAUUUCCACUGCUUUCUAGGUCAUUUAAAAACAUUUCACAGGGGAGUUCCCAUCGUGAUUCAGUGGUUAACGAAUCCGACUAGGAACCACAGGUCACGGGUUCGAUCCCUGCCCUUGCUCAGUGGGUUAAGGAUCCGGCAUUGCCGUAAGCUGUGGUGUAGGUCACAGACGCAGCUCCGAUCCCGAGUUGCUGCGGCUCUGCUGUAGGCCAGCGGCUAUGGCUCCGAUUAGACCCCUAGCCUGGGAACCUCCAUAUGCCUUGGGUGUGGCCCUAGAAAAAGACAAAAAAAAAAAAAAAUUAGACCUUAACAGAAAAACUAAAGUCUCUCUACCCCAGAGCCAAGUGGUGUCAAAUCAAUUAUCUUCCAAUCUUGUAAACACCUUUAUUUGUGCAUCGACUUAACCUGCAGAAAAAGGAGUGUGUGGUACUUUUUAUUUGUCGUAACAGUGUUUUGCUAUAAUAUGGUUUUUCACUCCACACUGUUUUUUGAGAUUAGUCCAUGUUACAUACAAAUUUUGAAGCAUAAUCUCCAGGCGACACCCGAGCUUCAAGGUGAAGGACCUGGAUUCAAAAUCCUGCUUAGUGCUUACUCCCUGUGUGAUUUUAUGUCCUGAGCCUCAGUUUUCUCU